GAUGAAGAAGGCAGCGAAAUGCGAUAAGUAGUGUGAAUUGCAGAAUUCAGUGAAUCAUCGAAUCUUUGAACGCACAUUGCGCCUCCUGGUAUUCCGGGAGGCAUGCCUGUUCGAGCGUCAUUAAAAUCACUCAAGCUUAGGUUUACCUAUUGCUUGGUCUUGGAGAUGGAAGCCAAUUUAUUGGAAUCCUCUUCGAAAUUCAAUGGCGAAGACCCUUGCUCUCCCAAGUGUAGUAAUAACUUAUGUCACUGAAGGAAGCGAGAAAUCUUCUGCCGUAACCCCCAUAUUUUCUAUGAUUGACCUCGGAUCAGGUAGGGAUACCCGCUGAACUUAAGCAUAUCAAUAAGCGGAGGA
This 354-nucleotide unclassified non-coding RNA is filed under the name soil metagenome. RNAcentral's name for it is "partial contains 5.8S ribosomal RNA, internal transcribed spacer 2, and large subunit ribosomal RNA". The stretch from base 1 to 120 matches the Rfam family "5.8S ribosomal RNA", at positions 35 to 154 of the family's 154-position model. The record is from RNAcentral.